RNAcentral lists this ribosomal RNA (398 nucleotides) under uncultured bacterium. Its description in RNAcentral is "partial 16S ribosomal RNA". It matches the Rfam family "Bacterial small subunit ribosomal RNA", at positions 523 to 918 of the family's 1533-position model. The record is from RNAcentral.
AUACGUAGGGUGCGAGCGUUGUCCGGAAUUACUGGGCGUAAAGAGCUCGUAGGUGGUUUGUCGCGUCGUCUGUGAAAUUCCGGGGCUUAACUCCGGGCGUGCAGGCGAUCCGGGCAUAACUUGAGUACUGGAGGGGAGACUGGAAUUCCUGGUGUAGCGGGAAAAUGCGCAGAUAUCAGGAGGAACCCCGGUGGCGAAGGGGGGUCUCUGGGAGGUAACUGACGCUGAGGAGCGAAAGCAUGGGUAGCGAACAGGAUUAGAUACCCUGGUAGGCCAUGCCGUAAACGGUGGGCGCUAGGUGUAGGGGUCUUCCACGACUUCUGUGCCGUAGCUAACGCAUUAAGCGCCCCGCCUGGGGAGUACGGCCGCAAGGCUAAAACUCAAAGGAAUUGACGGGG